This 117-nucleotide ribosomal RNA is filed under the name Hydrogenivirga sp. 128-5-R1-1. The record is from RNAcentral. Lineage: Bacteria; Pseudomonadati; Aquificota; Aquificia; Aquificales; Aquificaceae.
CCUGGUGGCCAUAGCGGAGGGGCAACACCCGGCUUCCAUUCCGAACCCGGCAGUUAAGCCCUCUGCGCCUAUGAUACUGGCCGGGAGACCGGUCGGGAAAGUUGGUCGCUGCCAGGG